RNAcentral lists this ribosomal RNA (373 nucleotides) under uncultured organism. Its description in RNAcentral is "bacterial SSU rRNA". It matches the Rfam family "Bacterial small subunit ribosomal RNA", at positions 526 to 896 of the family's 1533-position model. The record is from RNAcentral.
CGUAGGGUGCGAGCGUUGUCCGGAAUUAUUGGGCGUAAAGGGCUCGUAGGCGGUUUGUCGCGUCGGGAGUGAAAACACCGGGCUUAACUCGGUGCUUGCUUUCGAUACGGGCAGACUAGAGGCAUGCAGGGGAGAACGGAAUUCCUGGUGUAGCGGUGAAAUGCGCAGAUAUCAGGAGGAACACCGGUGGCGAAGGCGGUUCUCUGGGCAUGUCCUGACGCUGAGGAGCGAAAGUGUGGGGAGCGAACAGGAUUAGAUACCCUGGUAGUCCACACCGUAAACGUUGGGCGCUAGGUGUGGGGCCUAUUCCAUGGGUUCCGUGCCGCAGCUAACGCAUUAAGCGCCCCGCCUGGGGAGUACGGCCGCAAGGCUA